This is a long non-coding RNA of Leopardus geoffroyi (Geoffroy's cat), 133 nucleotides long. RefSeq lists it as uncharacterized. The transcript is spliced from 3 exons. NCBI's taxonomy places the organism in Eukaryota, Metazoa, Chordata, Mammalia, Carnivora, Felidae. The record is from RefSeq and is a predicted model, not a curated record.
UAUCACGCAGGUUUUAUCAGGCCUGCCCAGGCUGAAUGAUUCCAGACAUUGGGGCAAGGCUCUGGGGUUGACACCCACCAAACGCUGGAUCCUCCUCCAAGAAAAGUGCCCAGAGCACCUUUGCCAGCGGAGG